UCAUAUGCUUGUCUCAAAGAUUAAGCCAUGCAUGUCUAAGUACAUGCCGAAAUAAGGCGAAACCGCGAAUGGCUCAUUAAAUCAGUUAUGGUUCCUUAGAUCGUUUCUUCCUACUUGGAUAACUGUGGCAAUUCUAGAGCUAAUACAUGCAGUGAGCCUGAAGCCCUUUGGGCGACGGGUGCUUUUAUUAGACCAAGAUCGAUCGGGUUUCGGCCCGUAUUGUGUGGUGACUCUGGAUAACUUUGUGCUGAUCGCAUGGCCACGAGCCGGCGACGUUUCUUUCAAGUGUCUGCCUUAUCAACUUUCGAUGGUAGGUUACUUGCUUACCAUGGUUGUUACGGGUAACGGAGAAUCAGGGUUCGAUUCCGGAGAGGGAGCCUGAGAAACGGCUACCACAUCCAAGGAAGGCAGCAGGCGCGCAAAUUACCCACUCCCGGCACGGGGAGGUAGUGACGAAAAAUAACAAUACGGGACUCUUUUGAGGCCCCGUAAUUGAAAUGAGUACACUCUAAAUCCUUUAACGAGGAUCAAUUGGAGGGCAAGUCUGGUGCCAGCAGCCGCGGUAAUUCCAGCUCCAAUAGCGUAUACUAAAGCUGCUGCGGUUAAAAAGCUCGUAGUUGGAUCUCAGUUCCAGACGAGUAGUGCAUCUACCCGAUGCGACGGCUCGGACUGAACAUCAUGCCGGUCCUUUCUUGGUGCACUUCAUUGUGUGCCUCGAGAAGGCCGGUGCUUUUACUUUGAAAAAAUUAGAGUGCUCAACGCAGGCGAGUCGCCUGAAUAAACUUGCAUGGAAUAAUAGAACAAGACCUCGUUUCUGUUCUGUUGGUUUUUGGAAUACGAGGUAAUGAUUAAGAGGGACAGACGGGGGCAUUCGUAUUGCGGCGCUAGAGGUGAAAUUCUUGGACCGUCGCAAGACGAACUACUGCGAAAGCAUUUGCCAAGAAUGUUUUCUUUGAUCAAGAACGAAAGUCAGAGGUUCGAAGGCGAUCAGAUACCGCCCUAGUUCUGACCAUAAACGAUGCCAACCAGCGAUCCGCCUGAGUUACUCAAAUGACUCGGCGGGCAGCUUCCGGGAAACCAAAGUAUUUGGGUUCCGGGGGAAGUAUGGUUGCAAAGCUGAAACUUAAAGGAAUUGACGGAAGGGCACCACCAGGAGUGGAGCCUGCGGCUUAAUUUGACUCAACACGGGAAAACUUACCCGGCCCGGACACUGGGAGGAUUGACAGAUUGAGAGCUCUUUCUUGAUUCGGUGGAUGGUGGUGCAUGGCCGUUCUUAGUUGGUGGAGCGAUUUGUCUGGUUAAUUCCGAUAACGAACGAGACUCUAGCCUAUUAAAUAGGUGCGGGGUUCCCAGCACCUUACAACCUUCUUAGAGGGACAAGCGGCUCCUAGCCGCACGAAACAGAGCAAUAACAGGUCUGUGAUGCCCUUAGAUGUCCGGGGCCGCACGCGCGCUACACUGAAGGAAGCAGCGUGUCUUUAUCCCUGUCUGAAAAGACUGGGUAACCCGUGGAACUUCUUUCGUGAUUGGGAUAGGGGCUUGCAAUUGUUCCCCUUGAACGAGGAAUUCCCAGUAAGCGCGAGUCAUAAGCUCGCGUUGAUUACGUCCCUGCCCUUUGUACACACCGCCCGUCGCUACUACCGAUUGAAUGAUUUAGUGAGGUCUUCGGACCGAUGUCCGGCGCGGCCUUUCGGUUGCGCCGGUCUGUUGGAAAGAUGACCAAACUUGAUCAUUUAGAGGAAGUAAAAGUCGUAACAAGGUUUCCGU
This 1767-nucleotide ribosomal RNA is filed under the name Dermacentor reticulatus. RNAcentral's name for it is "SSU rRNA". It matches the Rfam family "Eukaryotic small subunit ribosomal RNA". The record is from RNAcentral. Lineage: Eukaryota; Metazoa; Arthropoda; Arachnida; Ixodida; Ixodidae.